Molecule: ribosomal RNA, 1367 nt
Filed under: Anomala flavacoma
Lineage: Eukaryota; Metazoa; Arthropoda; Insecta; Coleoptera; Scarabaeidae
Description: eukaryotic LSU rRNA
Rfam family: Eukaryotic large subunit ribosomal RNA
Source: RNAcentral
CCAAGGAGUCUAGCAUGUGCGCGAGUCAUUGGGACUCUAACGAAACCUAAAGGCGCAAUGAAAGUGAAGGUUCGCCACGCGCGAACCGAGGGAGGAUGGACGGUCGAUCGUGGCCGUCCCGCACUCCCUGGGCGUCUCGUUCUCAUCGCGAGAAGAGGCGCACCAAGAGCGUACACGCUGGGACCCGAAAGAUGGUGAACUAUGCCUGGUCAGGACGAAGUCAGGGGAAACCCUGAUGGAGGUCCGUAGCGAUUCUGACGUGCAAAUCGAUCGUCGGAACUGGGUAUAGGGGCGAAAGACUAAUCGAACCAUCUAGUAGCUGGUUCCCUCCGAAGUUUCCCUCAGGAUAGCUGGCGCUCGCUUCUCGCGAGUCUCAUUCGGUAAAGCGAAUGAUUAGAGGCAUUGGGGUCGAAACGGCCUCAACCUAUUCUCAAACUUUAAAUGGGUGAGAUCUCCGGCUUGCUUGAACUGUGAAGCCGCGAGAUAUCGGAUCAGAGUGCCAAGUGGGCCACUUUUGGUAAGCAGAACUGGCGCUGUGGGAUGAACCAAACGCCGAGUUAAAGCGCCUAAAUCGACGCUUAUGGGAUACCAUGAAAGGCGUUGGUAACUUAAGACAGCAGGACGGUGGCCAUGGAAGUCGGAAUCCGCCAAGGAGUGUGUAACAACUCACCUGCCGAAGUUACUAGCCCUGAAAAUGGAUGGCGCUGAAGCGUCGUGCUUAUACUCUGCCGUCAGCGGCAUGUGAGACGGUCCUUAAGAGGUCGUCAUGAAGCCCUGACGAGUAGGAGGGUCGCGGCGGUGAGCGCAGAAGGACCAGGCGCGAGCCAGUCUGGAGCCGCCGUCGGUGCAGAUCUUGGUGGUAGUAGCAAAUACUCCAGCGAGGCCCUGGAGGACUGACGUGGAGAAGGGUUUCGUGUGAACAGCCGUUGCACACGAGUCAGUCGAUCCUAAGCCAUAGGCGAAAGCCGAUGUCGAUGCGGUGUAUCUUUCAGUGUCUAUAUGCUGCCGCUGCUGCUGCUAUGUAGCUGCUGCUGCUGUUAAGGCGGAGAGACUCACACCCGUCGGGCGAAAGGGAAUCCGGUUCCUAUUCCGGAACCCGGCAGCGGAACCGUUAUUAAGUCGUGCCCUCAUUCAGAGAGUUCGUCGGGGCAACCCAAAAGGACCUGGACACGCCGUCGGGAGAUCCGGGAAGAGUUUUCUUUUCUGCAUAAGCGCUCGAGUUCCAUGGAAUCCUCUAGCAGGGAGAUAUGGUUUGGAGCGCGAAGAGCACCGCAGUUGCGGCGGUGUCCGGAUCUUCCCCUCGGACCUUGAAAAUCCAGGAGAGGGCCACGUGGAGGCGUCGCGCCGGUUCGUACCCAUAUCCGCAG